GGCCGGUCUGCGUACAGUGGUGUUAAGUAAUCACAGCCAGUUACAGAUUUCCUUGUUUCUUCUCCACCCCCACUGUUUCACUUGACUAGCCUUAA
This is a non-coding RNA of Callithrix jacchus (white-tufted-ear marmoset), 95 nucleotides long. The record is from Rfam. Lineage: Eukaryota; Metazoa; Chordata; Mammalia; Primates; Cebidae.